UACGAAGGGGGCUAGCGUUGCUCGGAAUCACUGGGCGUAAAGGGUGCGUAGGCGGGUCUUUAAGUCAGGGGUGAAAUCCUGGAGCUCAACUCCAGAACUGCCUUUGAUACUGAAGAUCUCGAGUCCGGGAGAGGUGAGUGGAACUGCGAGUGUAGAGGUGAAAUUCGUAGAUAUUCGCAAGAACACCAGUGGCGAAGGCGGCUCACUGGCCCGGUACUGACGCUGAGGCGCGAAAGCGUGGGGAGCAAACAGG
Molecule: ribosomal RNA, 253 nt
Filed under: uncultured bacterium
Lineage: Bacteria
Description: partial 16S ribosomal RNA
Rfam family: Bacterial small subunit ribosomal RNA
Source: RNAcentral